Molecule: ribosomal RNA, 521 nt
Filed under: uncultured bacterium
Lineage: Bacteria
Description: bacterial SSU rRNA
Rfam family: Archaeal small subunit ribosomal RNA
Source: RNAcentral
AACCUCCGCAAUGUGAGAAAUCGCGACGGGGGGAUCCCAAGUGCCAUUCUUAACGGGAUGGCUUUUCAUUAGUGUAAAGAGCUUUUGGAAUAAGGGCUGGGCAAGACCGGUGCCAGCCGCCGCGGUAACACCGGCAGCUCUAGUGGUAGCAGUUUUUAUUGGGCCUAAAGCGUCCGUAGCCGGUUUAAUAAGUCUCUGGUGAAAUCCUGUAGCUUAACUGUGGGAAUUGCUGGAGAUACUAUUAGACUUGAGACCGGGAGAGGUUAGAGGUACUCCCAGGGUAGAGGUGAAAUUCUGUAAUCCUGGGAGGACCGCCUGUUGCGAAGGCGUCUAACUGGAACGGUUCUGACGGUGAGGGACGAAAGUUAGGGGCGCGAACCGGAUUAGAUACCCGGGUAGUCCUAACUGUAAACGAUGCGGACUUGGUGUUGGGGUGGCUUUGAGCUGCUCCAGUGCCGAAGGGAAGCUGUUAAGUCCGCCGCCUGGGAAGUACGGUCGCAAGACUGAAACUUAAAGGAAUU